This 503-nucleotide ribosomal RNA is filed under the name uncultured Actinomycetes bacterium. RNAcentral's name for it is "bacterial SSU rRNA". It matches the Rfam family "Bacterial small subunit ribosomal RNA", at positions 9 to 524 of the family's 1533-position model. Lineage: Bacteria; Bacillati; Actinomycetota; Actinomycetes. The record is from RNAcentral.
GAGUUUGAUCCUGGCUCAGGACGAACGCUGGCGGCGUGCUUAACACAUGCAAGUCGAGCGGGGUCCAUCCAGUGGCAACACUGGUGAAGACCUAGCGGCGAACGGGUGAGUAAUACGUGAGGAACCUGUUUUGAAGACCGGGAUAACCCUCCGAAAGGAGAGCUAAUACCGGAUACCCCCUCAGGCCGCAUGACUUGGAGAGGAAAUGGAUUCCGCUUCGGGAGGGCCUCGCGGCCUAUCAGCCUGUUGGUGAGGUAAUGGCUCACCAAGGCGACGACGGGUAGCUGGUCUGAGAGGACGAUCAGCCACACUGGGACUGAGACACGGCCCAAACUCCUACGGGAGGCAGUAGUGGGGAAUUUUGCGCAAUGGGCGAAAGCCUGACGCAGCAACGCCGCGUGGGGGAUGAAGGUUCUCGGGUUGUAACCCCUUUCAGCAGGGACGAUUAUGACGGUACCUGCAGAAGAAGGACCGGCCAACUACGUGCCAGCAGCCGCCGUAAG